This 433-nucleotide ribosomal RNA is filed under the name uncultured bacterium. RNAcentral describes it as "partial 16S ribosomal RNA". It matches the Rfam family "Bacterial small subunit ribosomal RNA", at positions 29 to 507 of the family's 1533-position model. The record is from RNAcentral.
AACGAACGCUGGCGGCAUGCCUAACACAUGCAAGUCGAACGAGACCUUCGGGUCUAGUGGCGCACGGGUGCGUAACGCGUGGGAACCUGCCCUUAGGUUCGGAAUAACUCCCCGAAAGGGGUGCUAAUACCGGAUAAUGUCUUCGGACCAAAGAUUUAUCGCCUUUGGAUGGGCCCGCGUUGGAUUAGCUAGUUGGUAGGGUAAAAGCCUACCAAGGCGACGAUCCAUAGCUUGUCUGAGAGGAUGAUCACCCACACUGGGACUGAGACACGGCCCAGACUCCUACGGGAGGCAGCAGUGGGGAAUAUUGGACAAUGGGCGAAAGCCUGAUCCAGCAAUGCCGCGUGAGUGAUGAAGGCCUUAGGGUUGUAAAGCUCUUUUACCCGGGAUGAUAAUGACAGUACCGGGAGAAUAAGCUCCGGCUAACUCCGUG